GGUUGAUCCUGCCAGUAGUCAUAUGCUUGUCUCAAAGAUUAAGCCAUGCAUGUCUCAGUACAAGCCAAAUUAAGGUGAAACCGCGAAAGGCUCAUUAAAUCAGUUAUGGUUCCUUAGAUCGUACCCACAAUUACUUGGAUAACUGUGGUAAUUCUAGAGCUAAUACAUGCAAACAGAGCUCCGACCGGAGACGGAAGGAGUGCUUUUAUUAGAUCAAAACCAAUCGGUGGCGGGUUCGCUCGUCAUCGUACAACUUGGUGACUCUGAAUAACUUUACGCUGAUCGCACGGUCUUCGCACCGGCGACGCAUCUUUCAAAUGUCUGCCUUAUCAACUGUCGAUGGUAGGUUCUGCGCCUACCAUGGUUGUAACGGGUAACGGGGAAUCAGGGUUCGAUUCCGGAGAGGGAGCCUGAGAAACGGCUACCACAUCCAAGGAAGGCAGCAGGCGCGCAAAUUACCCACUCCCGGCACGGGGAGGUAGUGACGAAAAAUAACGAUACGGGACUCAUCCGAGGCCCCGUAAUCGGAAUGAGUACACUCUAAACCCUUUAACGAGGAUCAAUUGGAGGGCAAGUCUGGUGCCAGCAGCCGCGGUAAUUCCAGCUCCAAUAGCGUAUAUUAAAG
This 625-nucleotide ribosomal RNA is filed under the name Blepiarda undulata. RNAcentral's name for it is "SSU rRNA". It matches the Rfam family "Eukaryotic small subunit ribosomal RNA", at positions 6 to 609 of the family's 1831-position model. The record is from RNAcentral. Lineage: Eukaryota; Metazoa; Arthropoda; Insecta; Coleoptera; Curculionidae.